GCUUGCGGCAUUUGCGAGUUUUCGCUCACUCAUGUUCGAGGGAAAAUUGCUUGCGUGCAUGGGGAGGAUGGAUGCGUUUGACCUUAAGAAGCACCCAAAAUCCUAAAAUUGUAGAUCGCCUGUCGUCACACGCCAUGCCACGUGUGAAAAUGUCUGUUGUUUAGCUUAGUGAGAGGCAAGUAGGUCGGACUCGGGGGUCAGUUUCAGAGCAAUUGAGGGAAGGGCGUUGGGCCAUGAGACCAUGUGCCUAAUUAGCACCAUUGUCAAAAAUGGACGUUUUCCAAUUCCAGGUAAAACACGAGGCGUUCCCAGUGUGACUUCGAUCACGCAGCCACGGCAGCCAGGUAUAACAACGGGCUUGUGAGGUGCCUCGGACUACAAGUUGCACGGUUUCAACAUCUGCGAAGUAGUUAGUGGUUUGCGCCUGCCAUUCUAGUCUUCACAGAUGUUCAUUGUGGCUUUCCAGGUUACUUGGAUAGGGACUCGGUGAUAUGCCCGCAUGCGGGUUUGGGCAGGGAACAUCACAAGAACUUACAAGACCAAGCGCUUGCGGCAUUUGCGAGUUUUCGCUCACUCAUGUUCGAGGGAAAAUUGCUUGCGUGCAUGGGGAGGAUGGAUGCGUUUGACCUUAAGAAGCACCCAAAAUCCUAAAAUUGUAGAUCGCCUGUCGUCACACGCCAUGCCACGUGUGAAAAUGUCUGUUGUUUAGCUUAGUGAGAGGCAAGUAGGUCGGACUCGGGGGUCAGUUUCAGAGCAAUUGAGGGAAGGGGGUGGGGCCAUGAGACCAUGUGCCUAAUUAGCACCAUUGUCAAAAAUGGACGUUUUCCAAUUCCAGGUAAAACACGAGGCGUUCCCAGUGUGACUUCGAUCACGCAGCCACGGCAGCCAGGUAUAACAACGGGCUUGUGAGGUGCCUCGGACUACAAGUUGCACGGUUUCAACAUCUGCGAAGUAGUUAGUGGUUUGCGCCUGCCAUUCUAGUCUUCACAGAUGUUCAUUGUGGCUUUCCAGGUUACUUGGAUAGGGACUCGGUGAUAUGCCCGCAUGCGGGUUUGGGCAGGGAACAUCACAAGAACUUACAAGACCAAGCGCUUGCGGCAUUUGCGAGUUUUCGCUCACUCAUGUUCGAGGGAAAAUUGCUUGCGUGCAUGGGGAGGAUGGAUGCGUUUGACCUUAAGAAGCACCCAAAAUCCUAAAAUUGUAGAUCGCCUGUCGUCACACGCCAUGCCACGUGUGAAAAUGUCUGUUGUUUAGCUUAGUGAGAGGCAAGUAGGUCGGACUCGGGGGUCAGUUUCAGAGCAAUUGAGGGAAGGGCGUUGGGCCAUGAGACCAUGUGCCUAAUUAGCACCAUUGUCAAAAAUGGACGUUUUCCAAUUCCAGGUAAAACACGAGGCGUUCCCAGUGUGACUUCGAUCACGCAGCCACGGCAGCCAGGUAUAACAACGGGCUUGUGAGGUGCCUCGGACUACAAGUUGCACGGUUUCAACAUCUGCGAAGUAGUUAGUGGUUUGCGCCUGCCAUUCUAGUCUUCACAGAUGUCCAUUGUGGCUUUCCAGGUUACUUGGAUAGGGACUCGGUGAUAUGCCCGCAUGCGGGUUUGGGCAGGGAACAUCACAAGAACUUACAAGACCAAGUGCUUGCGGCAUUUGCGAGUUUUCGCUCACUCAUGUUCGAGGGAAAAUUGCUUGCGUGCAUGGGGAGGAUGGAUGCGUUUGACCUUAAGAAGCACCCAAAAUCCUAAAAUUGUAGAUCGCCUGUCGUCACACGCCAUGCCACGCGUGAAAAUGUCUGUUAUUUAGCUUAGUGAGAGGCAAGUAGGUCGGACUCGGGGGUCAGUUUCAGAGGAAUUGAGGGAAGGGGGUGGGGCCAUGAGACCAUGUGCCUAAUUAGCACCAUUGUCAAAAAUGGACGUUUUCCAAUUCCAGGUAAAACACGAGGCGUUCCCAGUGUGACUUCGAUC
RNAcentral lists this long non-coding RNA (1960 nucleotides) under Volvox carteri. RNAcentral describes it as "long non-coding RNA (VCAR_LNC001676)". Lineage: Eukaryota; Viridiplantae; Chlorophyta; Chlorophyceae; Chlamydomonadales; Volvocaceae. The record is from RNAcentral.